RNAcentral lists this ribosomal RNA (253 nucleotides) under uncultured bacterium. RNAcentral describes it as "partial 16S ribosomal RNA". It matches the Rfam family "Bacterial small subunit ribosomal RNA", at positions 524 to 776 of the family's 1533-position model. The record is from RNAcentral.
UACGAAGGAGGCUAGCGUUGCUCGGAAUCACUGGGCGUAAAGCGCACGUAGGCGGAUCUUUAAGUCAGGGGUGAAAUCCUGGAGCUCAACUCCAGAACUGCCUUUGAUACUGGGGAUCUCGAGUCCGGGAGAGGUGAGUGGAACUGCGAGUGUAGAGGUGAAAUUCGUAGAUAUUCGCAAGAACACCAGUGGCGAAGGCGGCUCACUGGCCCGGUACUGACGCUGAGGUGCGAAAGCGUGGGGAGCAAACAGG